RNAcentral lists this ribosomal RNA (584 nucleotides) under Duttaphrynus himalayanus (Himalayan toad). RNAcentral's name for it is "partial large subunit ribosomal RNA". It matches the Rfam family "Bacterial large subunit ribosomal RNA", at positions 1811 to 2608 of the family's 2925-position model. The record is from RNAcentral. Lineage: Eukaryota; Metazoa; Chordata; Amphibia; Anura; Bufonidae.
AAACAUCGCCUCUUGAACUUUAUAAGAGGUCCAGCCUGCCCAGUGACUCUGUUCAACGGCCGCGGUAUCCUAACCGUGCGAAGGUAGCGUAAUCACUUGUUCUUUAAAUGCGGACUAGUAUGAAUGGCAUCACGAAGGUUAUACUGUCUCCUCUCUCUAAUCAGUGAAACUAAUCCCCCCGUGAAGAAGCGGGGAUGAAAAUAUAAGACGAGAAGACCCUAUGGAGCUUUAAACAAAAUAGCACUCGCCACACAAAUAAAAAAUUCCAGAAUCAUUAAAUACUUCGGGCAAUCUGACUAUGCGUUUUUGGUUGGGGUGACCGCGGAGCAUAACACAACCUCCAUGUUGAAAGUAAUAAUUCUCUAAACUAAGAACUACGCCUCUAAGUAUCAAAAUAUUGACAUCCAUUGACCCAAUAAACUUGAACAACGAACCAAGUUACCCUAGGGAUAACAGCGCAAUCCACUUCAAGAGCUCCUAUCGACAAGUGGGUUUACGACCUCGAUGUUGGAUCAGGGUAUCCCAGUGGUGCAGCCGCUACUAAAGGUUCGUUUGUUCAACGAUUAAAACCCUACGUGAUCUGA